This is a long non-coding RNA of Culex pipiens pallens (northern house mosquito), 1830 nucleotides long. RefSeq lists it as uncharacterized. The record is from RefSeq and is a predicted model, not a curated record. Lineage: Eukaryota; Metazoa; Arthropoda; Insecta; Diptera; Culicidae. The transcript is spliced from 4 exons.
UUCCAGAUCGAAAAGACACUUCUGAACAAUUGCGACGGCGAUUGUGGCAUGUCAAAGAUCAGUUCGAACCAGCACGAACAAAUUCUUACACUUUUCGCGAUUUUCUAGCAUGAUCAUUUUUCUCUUAGAAACUGCCCAACAAAUUCACCAGCAUUACUACAUAUAUAUGAAAUUUUGAUAACUAAAGUUGCACGACGAUAAACAGUGUCAAUAAAUAAUCAAAAACCACGGUUUAAGAUUAUUUAUUGCCAUUGGGUCUGGGGGUGUUGUAACCUGACCACGAUCUUCAUGUGAUCAGGUUUGCCAAUCGUCGACCGCUUAUCCCCACACAGAACCACAAGGGCAAAUACUUAUAAUCCGUAGGUAUUUGUACUACAUUACACUCAUACAACAGAACAACACCACAAUUAUCGUACGCAUCCGUACAUUGGCCAACACACUACUUCGUGCACGCAACGUCCGCGAGAGUGGACAAUCUCUUCCCGGGUCAACCAGGGGAUUUGCACCCAUAUUGGUCCCAAGCAACAUUUGUUCUGCAUAACACCAAAAAACCCGCCAUUUCCCGAUGGAGCACCAACAUGACAUGUGUUCAACAUGUCGCACGCGUCAAGGAGCACUUUCCCUCACCCACGCAACUCCAAAGAACACCCACAUUUACCGCGAAAUCUCAAUCAAUUCCGCAACGUGGGAUGGAUCAUCAACGAACCGGUUGACUGGUAUCAGGAACCCUGAGGGCCGAUCCAAAUUACGCUCACGGUCCUCUCUCACAACACAACGAUCAGUACAUACGCACGCCACACACAUGACCCAUGACCCAAUAUAGAUCGAUGACCCGCUCUGCAGCAGUAUCAGUCGAUGGUUAAUCGAAAAACAGGCCGGAUUGCGUGUACACCAGAUUCCACACGCAGUGUAACGACACAACGAACCAACAGUGAUAUUGUUUUUCGGUGGAUUAUUUCCUGACUAAGAAGAGCCUGACCAUUGACGCAGCGAAAGGGCUGAUAAAGUGUGAACAAGACGUAGGACAAAGUUUGAAACUGCGUCCAGUGCAGAGAGUGGUCAUCAAGGCUUGGCUGCGGCCACUGCCUUACAAAAAAAGUGCCAACCUUUUUCUACAAAAUGGCCGGCACGGCAUCGAUGCUGUGAGCGUCGGAAUGAUGUGAGAUCGGCCCUAUUUUCUUUUCCGCAUUACUUCAAGAUAUUCAACAAAAUGGCGGCUGGAGGAGUACAACUUCUGCAGCAGUGGAUCAAGCAGCGCUGGACGAGCGAUGCAGCAGGAGAAUCGGCUGGAGAACCGGCUGGAAGCCGGUGCGGUCCGUUCAUUUCGGCGGGAUGCUGGAAUGACGGCGGGUCACGAAGACCGGGCCGUUUGAAGGAGUCUACGGAUGCAGUUUGGCCAACAGCAGGGGGGAUUACACACUAUAACACUGACACAUUUACAUUAGUUUAAUAAUUAACUUUAGAAUUAAAAAUGCAUUUUGACUGCUAAUCAAUGCAGCAAAAUUAAGUCGCCCAAGAAGGAGCGCCAUUAAAUAUUGGAUCCAAACAUGUAAAACUUUCUUUUUCAUUUGAUUUUUUUUAUAUUUCCGCCCAAAAGGGCCAAUAAAUGCAUACAACUUAGAACUAAUCAUUUUUGUGCGUUACAAUUCUUUACUCUUCGGUUCUGGGUGGACGAGACGGGGAGAAGAACGAGAGAACUUUUCAUCAGCGGACGCGAACCUCAUCCAGAUCGACUUCGUGGCGCGGGAAGCGGCAUCUUCUGGUGAGUCGAUCUGCUUUUGUCUUUCAGGAACUCAUGUAUGUCUGGUUAGCUGGUGACAAGGUGCAAAC